AUUGAACGCUGGCGGCAGGCCUAACACAUGCAAGUCGAACGGUAGCACAGAGAGCUUGCUCUCGGGUGACGAGUGGCGGACGGGUGAGUAAUGUCCGGGAAACUGCCUGAUGGAGGGGGAUAACUACUGGAAACGGUAGCUAAUACCGCAUAAUGUCGCAAGACCAAAGAGGGGGACCUUCGGGCCUCUUGCCAUCGGAUGUGCCCAGAUGGGAUUAGCUUGUUGGUGAGGUAAAGGCUCACCAAGGCGACGAUCCCUAGCUGGUCUGAGAGGAUGACCAGCCAAACUGGAACUGGGACACGGUCCAGACUCCUACGGGAGGCAGCAGUGGGGAAUAUUGCACAAUGGGCGCAAGCCUGAUGCAGCCAUGCCGCGUGUGUGAAGAAGGCCUUCGGGUUGUAAAGCACUUUCAGCGGGGAGGAAGGCGGUGAGUUUAAUAAGCUCACCGAUUGACGUUACCCGCAAAAGAAGCACCGGCUAACUCCGUGCCAGCCGCCGCCGUAA
Molecule: ribosomal RNA, 504 nt
Filed under: uncultured bacterium
Lineage: Bacteria
Description: partial 16S ribosomal RNA
Rfam family: Bacterial small subunit ribosomal RNA
Source: RNAcentral